Non-coding RNA from Pantherophis guttatus, 422 nucleotides. The record is from RefSeq and is a predicted model, not a curated record. NCBI's taxonomy places the organism in Eukaryota, Metazoa, Chordata, Lepidosauria, Squamata, Colubridae.
AAAUAGCUGCUAUUUGUAAAGGAACUGUUUUCCUUCUGGCAAUGGCUACUGUGGCACAAAUUUAAACCAGAGACUUUUUUUUUACACAUGCGCAAGGGGCGGUCUUGUUUUUUUGCAAAAAUUGGAGGAGCAGAUUCCUUGCCGAUCUCAGAGAGAGAGGUGCUACUCCUUGACCUUCUUCCCUCCCAAGAGUUUCCUGGGGAUUCCCCAAAGCCAAGAUGAGAGUCUUCAUCUGUCUGAGCAUCUUCUCUUUCAUGUUGGCUACAUGUCAAGAAAAGUGUUUUUCGGAGCCCCUGAGUACACCGCUUAAAGAUGGUAAAGGGGUGAAGCCAAACACCUGCGUUGAUCGAUAUGAUGGGAAAACCCAUCCCAUUAGGUCCAGCUGGAGUACAGCCGAUUGCUUCGUUUGUAAGUGCAGUCCA